GACGAACGCUGGCGGCGUGCUUAACACAUGCAAGUCGAACGGAAAGGCCCUGCUUUUGUUGGGUGCUCGAGUGGCGAACGGGUGAGUAACACGUGAGUAACCUGCCCUUGACUUUGGGAUAACUUCAGGAAACUGGGGCUAAUACCGGAUAUGAUCUUCUGCUGCAUGGUGGUGGUUGGUAAGUUUCGGCGGUUGGGGAUGUGAUCGCGGCUUAUCCGCUUGUUUGUCGGGUAGUUGCUUACCACGGCUUUGACGGGUAGCCUGCCUGAGAGGGUGACCGGCCACAUUGGGACUGAGAGACGGCCCAGACGCGUACGGGAGGCAGCGGGGGGGAAUAUUGCACAAUGGGCGGAAGCCUGAUGCAGCAACGCCGCGUGCGGAAUGACGGCCUUCGGGUUGUAAACCGCUUUCGCCUGUGACGAAGCGUGAGUGACGGUAAUGGGUAAAGAAGCACCGGCUAACUACGUG
This 468-nucleotide ribosomal RNA is filed under the name uncultured bacterium. RNAcentral describes it as "partial 16S ribosomal RNA". It matches the Rfam family "Bacterial small subunit ribosomal RNA", at positions 28 to 507 of the family's 1533-position model. The record is from RNAcentral.